This 105-nucleotide small RNA is filed under the name Litomosoides sigmodontis. RNAcentral's name for it is "SL1 RNA". It matches the Rfam family "SL1 RNA". Lineage: Eukaryota; Metazoa; Nematoda; Chromadorea; Rhabditida; Onchocercidae. The record is from Rfam by way of RNAcentral.
GGUUUAAUUACCCAAGUUUGAGGUAAUUGAGUGUUUCGGCCCAGAGUUUCGGCUUCUGUGGCUUGAAGAAAAAUUUUGGAACGUCCUGCUAUAUAGCGGGACAAC